GUCUACAGCCAUACUACCCUGAACCAGCCCAAUCCCAUCUCAGAAGCUAAGCAGGGUCAAGCCUGGUGAGUACUUGGAUAGGAGAAUGCACUGCAUAAUAAAUACACUGUACCUG
RNAcentral lists this ribosomal RNA (115 nucleotides) under Microcebus murinus (gray mouse lemur). Lineage: Eukaryota; Metazoa; Chordata; Mammalia; Primates; Cheirogaleidae. The record is from RNAcentral.